UACGUAGGGGGCAAGCGUUGUCCGGAUUUAUUGGGCGUAAAGAGCGUGUAGGCGGCUAGAUAGGUCCGUUGUGAAAACUCGAGGCUCAACCUCGAGACGUCGAUGGAAACCAUCUGGCUAGAGUCCGGAAGAGGAGAGUGGAAUUCCGGGUGUAGAGGUGAAAUUCGUAGAUAUUGGGAAGAACACCGGUGGCGAAGGCGGCGACCUGGUCCGAUACUGACGCUGAGGCGCGAAAGCGUGGGGAGCAAACAGG
This 253-nucleotide ribosomal RNA is filed under the name uncultured bacterium. Its description in RNAcentral is "partial 16S ribosomal RNA". It matches the Rfam family "Bacterial small subunit ribosomal RNA", at positions 524 to 776 of the family's 1533-position model. The record is from RNAcentral.